This 500-nucleotide ribosomal RNA is filed under the name uncultured bacterium. RNAcentral's name for it is "partial 16S ribosomal RNA". It matches the Rfam family "Bacterial small subunit ribosomal RNA", at positions 30 to 523 of the family's 1533-position model. The record is from RNAcentral.
AUUGAACGCUGGCGGCAUGCCUUACACAUGCAAGUCGAACGGCAGCACGGGAGCAAUCCUGGUGGCGAGUGGCGAACGGGUGAGUAAAGUAUCGGAACGUGCCCAGUCGUGGGGGAUAACGUAGCGAAAGUUACGCUAAUACCGCAUACGAUCUAUGGAUGAAAGCGGGGGAUCGCAAGACCUCGCGCGAUUGGAGCGGCCGAUAUCAGAUUAGGUAGUUGGUGGGGUAAAGGCCCACCAAGCCGACGAUCUGUAGCUGGUCUGAGAGGACGACCAGCCACACUUGGACUGAGACACGGCCAAGACUCCUACGGGGGGCAUCAGUGGGGAAUUUUGGACAAUGGGCGAAAGCCUGAUCCAGCCAUGCCGCGUGCAGGAUGAAGGCCUUCGGGUUGUAAACUGCUUUUGUACGGAACGAAAAGGACUGCCCUAAUACGGUGGUCCCAUGACGGUACCGUAAGAAUAAGCACCGGCUAACUACGUGCCAGCCGCCGCCGUAA